CCACACCCACGCAAGCGAAGAGACGCAUCCAGGCAAACAUCAGCAGCAGCCGAAGGAAAAGCGCAAUAGAAGAGGUGCCCUCCUUCUCAGACUCCCGCAGCGAAGGCGUCCGACCCGUGCAGGAGGAGACCCUACACUCCCUCUCUCCCUCCGAAAGGCCUCCUCUUCGCGGUCCGUCCACGCCAUUACCGCUGGAGCCGACUCAUACCCACGGGCACAGAGAAGGGACAGACACAGCCGUGUUGCUCCCCUUUCUCUGCUCGGUGGCGUAGUUGUGAGCUUGUGCGUGCUGUUCGUAGCUCCUCGGCCACCGUCUCUUUCUGUGCACCGCGCCUCAAACCGCCACUGCGGCGUUGGGGCAUCCUCGUCGCCGUCCCUCGUUGCUGCUGCUUCGGUUUGCGUUGCCUGUGCUCUCUCUGCUUUUAACUCACCCGCUCUGCAGGCGCGUCGUCAUGUGAGCACGCUCGCGCAUACGUCUGCGUCUGCUUGCAUGUCUAUGCGGGGGUGGGGGCCGAUACGCUGACGGUGUGCGUUGCGACGGGCGUGAGUGGCUUGCUGUUGCGGCGUGCACCCCGUCCACCGGUAUGCAUCCAUCCGUCACACCCUCUCAACAACGAAGUUUGCCCCACGUCUCCAUCUCCCUCCUCCUUGUUGUUCUUGGUGCGUUGCAUUCCUUGCUGUAUGCCGCCUCGUGCGGGUACCCUUUUCCGCAUAUCUUGUCUUCCGCUGGAAGCCUUGCCAGCACUGUGCUUGUCUGCGUGCCGUGCGCGCACGGGCGUGUCCGUUUCUGUGCGCUUGCCUGUCGGCGCCUCUGCUGUGCGGAGUUUCGCGCUCAUCUCUCUGGCUUCGUCACUGCUUGUUGGGAUACGCGCUUGCGUGCCGACUUACAGUCUCGCGCACGCCGGCUCUCCCUCCUGCUCGUGUCCUGUCGCGCUGCUCACUUGCCUCAUCUCCACCCACUGGCGCACGCACACAGGUGCAUGUGGACACAACAUCGUACAAGGCAAGCCACACGUGAAGUCCCCUUCGCAAGCCGUUCGGCUGCACCCCCUUCCUCCCACCGAAUGUGGCCUUCCCAGGCGCAGCAGAGGCUACCGCGACUGCUACUCGUCGUUGUGGGGACGGCGACGGUGGCGACGGCUGCGGGCGAGACAGCGGACGGCAUCAGUCAUGAUUUUUGGUGGUGGCUCGCCCUCGGGUUUUCCGGCUUCUUCAUCGUGUUGCUCAUAUUCACGCUGCUGUUCUCCUGGAGCCGCUCCCUCGAUGCGUCUGUCUCGGUACCAGCAUCGUCGCUCCACGGCAGACGCCACCAGCAGAAGCAAGACAACGUAGGACUUUUCGAUGGCGCGACCUUCGUCUCGCCAGCCAUGACUGCGAUGCGUAAUGCCAGCACCGGUAUGGAUGGCACAAGCCACAGCCCUGGUGAGGCUUCUGUGAGCUUGCUGCAGUACGCGGAUCAUACGAACCGUUGCGAAAACGCCGAGAUGAUGGCGGCCGCCCUCGAAGGCGGCGUCACGCCACUCUCGCACUACGGUGAGCCUCCAGCACCGCAGCCGCCGGCGACGACGACCGUGCUCUUGGCAGGACACAGGCCCAAGAAGGUAACGCCGGCAUCGUCAAGACGAUCACUCGACAUUCAUUUUCGCAGUGCUGCUACCGUGGCUCCGCGCGCUGCGUUGGCUACUCCGCCUGCCGCCGCCAGCCUUCCCAAACAGCUUCGGUCGUUUCCGCGAGCGCAGCGGCAUCGUUGUCCAAACGACCUGGGAGAGGUGACGCCGGAGGCGGACGUGGAUGUCGCUGUCAGCUCACUAGAAAACCCGCUGACUACCACUGACCUUCACAGAGCGGUGCCGAAGCUGCUAGCGGAUCUCGUAGGCGGCUCCGCGCUACACUCCACACCAGCCGCAGCGGCAGGGAAGGGGAGGGGCGGCGACGACACCCCUCGCGACCGCCCUUUGGACGAGCUGACAUUCUCUGGCGCGCCUGCGCUUGCGUGGCAUGGUAAGCCCGCAACGCAACCCACAUCCCCAGUGCCGUUGCAGCGAGCGUCUUCGCAGCCGCAGCGCAGCAGCUCUUCUGAUGCGGUGAAGCAGUACUACUUCGGCUUCAAGCGCUCGCAGGAGACUGCCGCCACGGCAGCAUGCUCGGAGUUUGUGCCGCGACGCGCGUGGCACGAGGCCGCACACGCACCGGUGCACCGCCGCUCCUCGCAGGCACGGCGGCGCCCUGCCGAAGUUCAGUCAGAGCCAGCACCGGGCGCAAGCCGUGAAGCGCUGCUCACGAACGCACCCACCACAACCGUGGCUGCGGCUGCGCUGGCUUCUUUGAGUCCACACGACGGCGCCAUGUUCAAACCACUGACGCUGACGUUGGCGACGAUGCCCCCAUUCGCCGCGCGCGAGAGCGGCGACGCCACCUCGCUGACGGAGCUGGAGCCGUCUCCGCAGGGGCUUCACGUGGCUAGCGAGGAUGGCGCUGCCGCAGCGGGGGCGGCCACGUGCCGGUCGUCGCCCCGCAAGUCGCAGCACGUCUCGUCGCUUUCACGGCGGAGGCUUCGCCCGGAGCUGUUUCGCGCGAGCGGCGAUGGCGGCCCUGCAACAGCAAAGGCGGCUGUGUGCUGCGCGCAGUUCAACAAGCGCCCUGUCGCACAGCUGCAUUCCUCAGAUGCGCGGCCUACUCGGCAGCUGCUCAUUCUACAUGCUGCGCCUGCAUCGGCUAACUCGAAACCACGUGGGCACUGGCGCGACCGCCCGUUGUCGUCGCAGCCGCCAGUGCGCUCACGUGGCGGUGCUUCGUCGUCGUUGGCAGCUCAGCGAACAGCAUCGGCUGGCAGCACGACAGCGGAGCGGUCGGUGAGCACAACAGUGACGAAGGGCGUGCCGCAGCUGUUCUUCGGCAAGCGUGGAGCAUCGCCGGUGCGGCCGCCAGCGGCAGCAGCAUCUUCCCAGCCCACCGCGGCGACGGCGAAGGGAGCUCGGGGCGGCAGUGGAGGCACAGCCGCGCGUAGGCCGCCCAUCGCAAAGCCUCUGUCGGUAGACCAUCUCACCGAGGCCCUCGCACCUGCUCUGGUGUCGCCGUCGGCUUUCUCCUCUGUGAGCCCGCAGCCAGCGGCAGCCUCGGUGGCGCGGGGCUCGCCCGCACCAACAAUGUUCACCGCUGCCGGCGGCGCAUCCAUCAGCCCGUCGGGGUGGGCGGUCGCUCCGCACCGCGGCUCCUUCAGCCCCUCGAUGAACGGCCGCUCGCCGCUCCAUAACAGCCCACGACGAAAGCGGAGCGCAAGCCUGGUAACGUUCCUCGACAAGGACGAUGUCCGUGCCGGCAGCGAGCCUCGUGGGGUCCACGCGCCACCGCCGCUUGCGCAGAAGGUGCAGCUGCCACAGUCGUGCGAGCUCUCUGCUGGGCCGCCCUCCUCAUUCUAUGCCUCUCCUUCUGCAAGCGGCAGUGCUGGGGCAGCUCGGCUAGAGCGUGUUUCCGACCCUGCAGCGGCUACAGCCGCAACGGGCGUCGAUGUCGCUCCAGUCCUGCGGAAUGCCGGCGUGGCUGUCGCACAGGGGCAUCAGAUCCUCACGCUGCCGAGCGCCGCCGCGGCGGUAGAGCGACGCCGGGCGCAGAGCCCCGCUACUCGUGAGCCAAGCGCGGCUGCACCAGCGACGCCGCCCCACUCGGCGACGACAGCAACGCCGCUGGAGCUGCCUACCGACGUGGCAGCGCGCCGCACCCCGGCGGCGUUGGCACAACCUGCGUUUCUCACCACCCGUCACCACGGAGGUGGUGCAACAGCGGCUGCUGCUCUGACGCCAGGCCCAGCUGAAGAAAGCCGCGGUAUCGGCGCCGAAGAGAGCUGCGACAGCGAUGAUGGUGACUCUGUGAGCAGCGGGGCAAGCACCGUUGCCGCCGGCAUGUUACCAGCUGCUCCACGCGGCCGGAGAGGCACGUUCACCACGGUGCCGCCUGCGUCAACGGUCACCGCGCAACAGCGGCAGUUGCAUUCGACUGCGUCAGCCUACUCCGACGCCCGUCAGCAGCUUUUCUGCACCUCUGGAAUCGAGGUCCUGCGCAUCACGCACCCGACCGGUGUGGUACAGGAGUCACCUGCACCGCUCUCUGCCCUGGCGCGGGAUCCCCGGCACUAUGACGCGACGCACACCGCCUCGCACUACCCGUCCACAACAUCAGACCGUCACCUCCUCGCUGCCCACAGCAACGCAGCGCUGCCGGCUCGCUCCCACUUUUCAGGCGCUCAAGUCACCAAUGCGUCGGCGACCCGCAGCACCGGCAGCAUACAUUAGAGGGUGUGAGAGCGGGUUCAGGGAAGGGGGAGGGGAGGUUCUGUCAGCACUCAUACUCUACGGACAGCAGCGGGUCCGCGAGUGAGCGGGUGGGUGCACCCGCCCCACAUGCGCACGGCAACGUGCCUCCCCCCUCCCUCCCCCUUCCUUCCUCUCGCCGCACCGAGCGGGCGGGGAGGGAGGGAAGGGGUGCCCUUGGCACGUGCGGGUCUUGUUCGUUUUCGACCUCGUCGCCGUAUGCGCCCGCCUUUCUCCCUUAUGGAUACAGCGCGCCGAAAGGCGCGGGAGUUGAUGCCAGCAGACACAGGCCCACAGACAGACAGAGCGAGAAAGAGAUUCACUUGCGAGCGUCUAUUCUCCUUCUCCAUUCCCCUGAUGAGAGUGCAAGCAGCAGCUUGCACGUGUGUGUGUGUAGGGGGGGGAGGGCGCCUGGCGAGGUGAGGUGGUACUUGGCGCUGAUGGUGGCGUUGGGGAAGUGGAAACAACGCCUGCGUGUGUACGCGAUUGUGUCUGUGUGUCUGUCUUGGUGUUCGCUGAUGCUGGAUGUCUCUCUCCCGCUCACUCUCCGCUGCCGUCAAUCUCGUCCUCGUCUCUCUCCGUCGUGUUCGUCUCUGUUGGCCGAUAUACGCAUAUUCCUUUGUUGGUAAGGCUCUGUCCAGCGUCAUCGUUGUUUCGGUGUGCGUAAGACAACCCUUCCGCCGAUGUGCCCCCCUCUCUCUCCCAUCCGCUUGCCCCUCCGCCUUGGCUGAUGGGUGGGGGUCGGUGUGGGUGGGCAGGGGAGUACAGGGCACUCGUGCGGUUGCUUACUUCGUGCUCAUCGCUGUAACUCCUUAAUGCGAUCUUCAUGUUCUCCUUUCAUCUGGUAUCGUUGCGGGAGGGAUCCCUCCCCAGCCGUCCCUUGAUUGCUGAUGAACCUUCCAGCUGUCGGUGACGCUCGCGGCAACGCACACACGUGCACCAACACACUCCGACGCACGCCAAGACAGGUGUUCCUGUGCAGUGCUUGCGUUAGCUGUGCCUGCCCCUUUACUCAUCUUGAUCAUCGCCGGCGACGUGACGCAUGUGGACUCUGCCCCCCCCCCCCCCCCCCCCCCCCCCCCACGUAUUGCUCAUCAUCCACCGUGUCUCGCCCUGCGCUCUUCUCCUCUCCCCUCUCUCGCGCUCUGCCUGUCUGUGUUCGGCAUGUAAG
This 5478-nucleotide unclassified non-coding RNA is filed under the name Leishmania donovani. RNAcentral describes it as "gene:LdHU3.06.0950(CDS-product:hypothetical_prote in_conserved)". Lineage: Eukaryota; Euglenozoa; Kinetoplastea; Trypanosomatida; Trypanosomatidae. The record is from RNAcentral.